RNAcentral lists this ribosomal RNA (741 nucleotides) under uncultured bacterium. RNAcentral's name for it is "bacterial SSU rRNA". It matches the Rfam family "Bacterial small subunit ribosomal RNA", at positions 49 to 781 of the family's 1533-position model. The record is from RNAcentral.
CUACCAUGCAGUCGAGCGGUAGCACAGGGGAGCUUGCUCCCUGGGUGACGAGCGGCGGACGGGUGAGUAAUGUCUGGGAAACUGCCUGAUGGAGGGGGAUAACUACUGGAAACGGUAGCUAAUACCGCAUAACGUCGCAAGACCAAAGAGGGGGACCUUCGGGCCUCUUGCCAUCAGAUGUGCCCAGAUGGGAUUAGCUAGUAGGUGGGGUAAUGGCUCACCUAGGCGACGAUCCCUAGCUGGUCUGAGAGGAUGACCAGCCACACUGGAACUGAGACACGGUCCAGACUCCUACGGGAGGCAGCAGUGGGGAAUAUUGCACAAUGGGCGCAAGCCUGAUGCAGCCAUGCCGCGUGUGUGAAGAAGGCCUUCGGGUUGUAAAGCACUUUCAGCGAGGAGGAAGGUGGUGAACUUAAUACGUUCAUCAAUUGACGUUACUCGCAGAAGAAGCACCGGCUAACUCCGUGCCAGCAGCCGCGGUAAUACGGAGGGUGCAAGCGUUAAUCGGAAUUACUGGGCGUAAAGCGCACGCAGGCGGUUUGUUAAGUCAGAUGUGAAAUCCCCGGGCUCAACCUGGGAACUGCAUUUGAAACUGGCAAGCUAGAGUCUCGUAGAGGGGGGUAGAAUUCCAGGUGUAGCGGUGAAAUGCGUAGAGAUCUGGAGGAAUACCGGUGGCGAAGGCGGCCCCCUGGACGAAGACUGACGCUCAGGUGCGAAAGCGUGGGGAGCAAACAGGAUUAG